UGGGGAAUAUUGCACAAUGGAGGGAACUCUGAUGCAGCGACGCCGCGUGAACGAAGAAGGCUUUCGAGUCGUAAAGUUCUUUUAUAUGGGAAGAUAAUGACGGUACCAUAAGAAAAAGCCCCGGCUAACUACGUGCCAGCAGCCGCGGUAAUACUUAGGGGGCUAGCGUUGUCCGGAAUCACUGGGCGUAAAGGGUUCGCAGGCGGAAAUGCAAGUCAGGUGUAAAAGGCAGUAGCUUAACUACUGUAAGCAUUUGAAACUGCAUAUCUUGAGAAGAGUAGAGGUAAGUGGAAUUUUUAGUGUAGCGGUGAAAUGCGUAGAUAUUAAAAAGAAUACCGGUGGCGAAGGCGACUUACUGGGCUCAUUCUGACGCUGAGGAACGAAAGCGUGGGUAGCAAACAGG
RNAcentral lists this ribosomal RNA (403 nucleotides) under Fusobacteriota bacterium. RNAcentral's name for it is "Fusobacteria bacterium partial 16S ribosomal RNA". It matches the Rfam family "Bacterial small subunit ribosomal RNA", at positions 355 to 776 of the family's 1533-position model. Lineage: Bacteria; Fusobacteriati; Fusobacteriota. The record is from RNAcentral.